Ipomoea nil (Japanese morning glory) is the source of this 1995-nucleotide long non-coding RNA. RefSeq lists it as uncharacterized. Lineage: Eukaryota; Viridiplantae; Streptophyta; Magnoliopsida; Solanales; Convolvulaceae. The record is from RefSeq and is a predicted model, not a curated record. The transcript is spliced from 2 exons.
CACGCCCUCAAUAAAUUACGUAACGCCUCAGAAAUUGUUAUCGCAUUUUACAGCCGUCUGGCCUCUUGUCGUUUGUACUUUCUCUGCAGAUAUGCAAAUUUGUUCAGAUCUAUGCGACCAGCGAUGUUUUCCGUCGAUGCUUCCUUAAUUUCCUUAUAGAUCGAUCGACGAUCUAUUGAUUGAGCAUGAUUUUGUUGGUAGUUGAUGAACAUCGGAGGAUAAGCCGUAUCUGAUGACGGUUGGUGCUGCAUCGUCGGAGGUAAUCUGACUAGUCUUCAAUUACUGUAAUUUCUAAUUCGUUUUACUGUUUUUCGAGUUGUUUCGCCUGAGUUUCCGUGAUGUCGCGAAGGACAUGGCGGUUGCUAUCUUCUCUCGCCUCUAUUAGCUGUCUGAUUGUUCGCUCUCACCGAUUUGGUGAGAUCAUUGUGAAAGCAACUAUGAUUGCUUGGUUUUUUGUUUGAUCGGCUAUGUGGAUGUUUCUAUUUUGGACCACCGGAGCUGAUCGAAUGUGACCUAUUUGAUCGGAUGGUCUAGAUUGGGAAAAUGAAGUGCUGUGUUGAUCAAGGUUAAGAUGGUUUAUUGAUUGUUCCGUUGAUUUAUGUUUCGCUCUUUAUUUAAGCUUGUGAAUGGUGAUAAUCAUGCAUUUGUAUAAUAUAGGUAGAGACGAGGCGAUACGGUAGGCAGGAUAAUGAGUUGAUAACUGUGUUACGUAGUUACUGUUGUCUAUCGACCUUUGCCAUGAUGGGUGCGCUCGCAUGGCAGGUCAACAACCCUAAUAAAAUUUCUGUUUUUUGUUUUUGGAGAGGAGAUGGCACGGGAUUGCCCGGCUCUCCUUUCCGGUGUGUCGUGUCCCUCUUUUUUUUCCUCUUCUCUUUCUCUUUGCCUCCUGCUCCCGUCUACAAGUUCUCAACCCUUCAGAGCAAACUAUUCUGUUGCUUCACUUGCUUGUCCAUGAAUAAAUACACAUAUCAUGGAUAAAGUAACUUAAAGCACAAUUGUAUAUCCGUACGACACCAACAAGAGCAAGAAAACUAUCAACUACCGGGACUUUUAAGGUAUUAUCAGUUCACCACUGAACGACUACUUCAAGGUACACAAUAUAAUUCCCUUUUUGUUAUUUUGAUUAUUCAGAAUUCUGUAAUAAAAUGUUGAUUUCAGAUAUUUUUAUUAUUAAGCACGAAAUUCCCAAAUAUUAACACGAUCAAGGCAACUUACACAAAGAAAUGGAUUCUAUUUUUCCAUCAUUCUCCAGUAACGUUAAUGCAGUUGUCAGCUAUUACUAGUAUUACUUAUGUAUUUGUCAGCUUACUUAUUAAGUUCAAAUUAUCCACGGAUUUCAGCAGGUUUAUUUUAACAUUCAUGUAUUUUGAAUAGUGAGUAUAUUAGAUUUAUAUAUCCAAAAACACAAUGUUAUUUUUUAGCAUUGGUUAUUUUGCUAUACUGAGUUUCUCACAUCAUUUUCAACUUGAUGACAAUGGGGACUAAAAGUGAUAAAAGCUUCAUACUACUUUUGGAAUAUACAUUUCAUCGUCUUGAUAUUGUAAUUGUUUGGCAGUUAAUAUUCUUUGCAGAGUACAAUGUAUCAUUAUAAAUAUUUAGAUUUAGAUUAGAUUUUUUGUUACUUGUAAGCCAAAGAGCUAUAUAGCAAUAGAUGAGAAAGUGAGUGUGUAACUUGUUCUAUUGUUGGCAGACAGUUUUCAAGUUAAUGAUGAUACCACUGGCAAUCCUUUUAGUUAUGCACUCUUCUUUCUCAGAAGGGAAGUAUUCUCUGCCUCUUAUCACCUUCUUCAUAUGCACUUCUCAAAGAUAAUGGAAUCAUGUAAAGCUGGAAGUAUCAACUAUACUUGGAUGUUUCCGCGGAAGAUUUGAGGUCUCUGAAGAAAGAUCAUUGGUAAUUGUUUAAUGGAUGUUGUGUUCUGGACAUGGCAACUUAGCAAUGAUUGUGAAUUAAUUUUCUCGCUAUAUAUACUAUGUUUUAUUUUGCAUUUACAUCAA